UGUCCAAUGCGGGGAUCGAACCCGGGUCGUAGUGGUCGUAAACCAGACGGUUUAACCUGGUUCAACUCACAUAAAUAGGU
Cordylochernes scorpioides is the source of this 80-nucleotide non-coding RNA. NCBI's taxonomy places the organism in Eukaryota, Metazoa, Arthropoda, Arachnida, Pseudoscorpiones, Chernetidae. The record is from the annotation of a GenBank genome assembly.